ACGUGCGCGAGUCCGACUUGCAUUUGGCCGGUAUUUUACUAAUUGGAACCAUAAACCACAUGCCGUAAGAACAACAACCUACUUGUUACAUCUAUAUACAAACUGUAACCUAGCAACCGGCAAAAAAAUAAACAGUGUCAAUUUGGCAGAAAGCAUUGUUUUUCUGAUCGUUAAACUUUAGUUAUUACAUUUUUUAUUUUAUUUAGUACACGAUCUAGUGAAUUAAUUUAGUUAACAAUGGAUGUAAAGAAUUUGGAGACAUAUGCCAUAAUCGGGUUUGAUGGUUCCGCGAUCCGCGGCCUGAAAGUACAUCCCGACGGCGACCAUGUGAUAUACCCGAUGGGCAACAAGGUCUGCAUCCAGCACUGGACCAGCAAGCAGAUGUGGUUCCUGAGCGGACACACCAACAGCGUGUCGGCGGUGGGCGUGUCCAGCGGAGGGCGAUACGUUGGCUCGGGUCAGAUCAACCAUGUAGGAUUCAAGGCAGCAGCCAAGCUGUGGGAUUUUAAGAAGAAGAUGUUACUCGGGAGCCAUGAGCUGCAUAAGGUCCGCGUGGAAGCGCUAAUGUUCUCAUCGGACGAGCGCUACAUGAUCUCGCUGGGCGGCCGCGACGACGGCUGCGUGGUGCUGUGGGACUGCGCCGCGGGCGCGGCGACCGGCACGGCGCCCGCGGCGCGGCUGACCACCGGCGACGCGGUCACACUCACCGCGCUCUCCUGCCGGCCUAACUCGUUCAUUACUGGCGGAGACUCGAACCUCCGCGUCUGGAACAUCCGCGCGCAGAGCAAGGCGCUGGACGUGGUGGACGUGGCGCUCGGCAAGCUGCGCAGGAGCGUGCGCUGCAUCGCCGUCAGCCGCGACGACUCGUACGGGAUCGCGGGGACCACGACGGGAGACAUGGUGAAGUUCUCCAUCAACUACCCUUCCGACCCAAACGCAGACGUGGCGGCCUGCAAGCCAGCACUUAUCGGGUGCCUCGCUAAAUGUGGACCUUGGAAGAAAGGGAAGCGACCGGAGUCUCAGUGCUACAGCCAAGGAGUCGAAGCAAUCCUCAUAAUGUCGGACGGCUGCUUAAUUGUCGGUGCUGGAGACGGUACCAUAGAUAUCCUAGACGAGAUCAACUGGAAGGGGGAGUUCCCUAGGGGCAGGCUGCUAGACCCCAACAUGCCGUACUUUAAAGCGCUCCGCUCCGCGAAGCUCCCCGGCUGCAUCACCUCACUCGAGCUCAUGGAGUCCCCCGCCCACCGCGCGGGCGCGCGCAGGCUGCUGGCGGCCACUCGUUCCAGCGAGAUAUACGCGCUCAGUGUGGACACGCUGGCGCCCGUGCUGUGCGUCACGUGUCACCGCUGUGCGAUCAACGACAUCGCCUUCCCAAGGGGCAUGUCAGGUGUGUUCGCGACGGCGGGCUCGGGGGACGUCCGCGUGUGGUGCCUCGAGACCUGUCAGGAGCUGCUCCGGAUCUCAGUGCCUAACUUCACGUGCAGCUCUGUGCUGUUUAGUGGUGACGGCAAAUCCAUUGUCUCUGGUUGGAACGACGGCACGAUCCGCGCCUUCACCCCGCUCACGGGCCGGCUGAUGUACGCCAUAUUCAACACCCACAACAAGGGCACGUCGGCGCUGGCGAUGAACUCUAGCGGCAACACGCUCAUCUCCGGCGGAUGCGAGGGCCAGGUCCGCGUAUGGGACAUAAAGCCAGAGAAGCAGAUGUUGAAGAAAGUGCUCAAAGAACACAAGAGCCCAGUAUCAGCCAUCCAAGUGUCGCCCAACGAUUGCGAGGCCGUCAGCGCUGGCACAGACGGCUCAUGUAUCAUCUGGGACCUGAUGUCGCUAUCUCGUCGCCAAGUGAUGUACGCGAGCACGCUGUUCAUGUGCGUGUGCUUCGAGCCGCUGGGCUGCCAGCUGCUGACGGGCGGCACGGACCGCCGCGUCGCCUACUGGGAGGCGGGCAGCGGUAACCUGGCCAGAGAGUUGGAGGCGAGCAAGGUUGGAGCAGUCAACGGACUCGACAUAUCGGCCGAUGGUCAGCUCUUCGUCACUGGCUGCAACGAUCAGAUCGUCAAGAUCUGGAAAUACCAAGAGGGCAUCUACACACACAUGGGGCUAGGGCAUGCAGGGGCAGUGACUUGUACUAAGUUCUCACCGGACCGACGUUUUGUCGUGAGCGCCUGUGCUGCAGGCAGCAUCAUCGUGUGGAGGACGCCAGAGAUAUAUCUACAACCAGAGAAGCCGUCGCAGCCAUCAUCAGCCAAGCAAACCCAGGACCAAGAGCGUCAGGAAGGCCAAAAGAAGCCCCAGAGCCUCCAAGACGAGCUGAGACUUCCGCUCUCCGAUAAACCGGAGCAGGAGAAGAAGAAAGCGUCAGGGGACCGGCAGCACAGGGUGCCCGCGGCGCCUUCCAAGGUGGAGAAGAUAGAGGCGAUGGACACGACGCGUAGCAGCGUGCACUCGUGCUGUCCGUGCGACACGGUCCGGUCCGGCGCGUCCGGCGGCGCCGGGACCGGACCGAAACGCAGUCCGGCCGACUCCGGCAAGAAGUGCUGCCGCCCCGCAGACAAAACGAAUAACUUACCAACGAAGACGACUAGCAAAGAAUUCGUCAGUAGCGGCGGGGGCGAUAGAAAAUAACGAUUUGCGUGCCUAUUUAUUGCUAAAUAUUUUUGAGUGAACACAUUCACUGUCAGGAACCCGUGUAGUAGGCGCUCGGAACUUUUGCUCAGAUGCCAUAGACAACUCAUUAGAUAGCCAUAGAUAACGACCAUCACGCUACGCCAAGGAGCCCACUUAGCACACAUGACUGUAAAUCGUAUAGUUUGAGAAGUCUUUAGAUAUUAUCUUAUUUUUACGAUAUUUAUGCUUGACAUAGAAAUUGCUUUGUACAUGCGUCGCGUAGUAGCGAGGCUAAGACGCCAAUUCGAACGUACAUUGCGAUCAAAAUGAUGUAAUAUAAAUAUAUAAUAGAUAAUUUCAGUUAUCGUGCGUCUUGUUCGCGUCAAUAUACAUGUAUUAGGGACAAGUACGGACUAAAUGAUAUCAUUCGGAUAUAAUUUUGGUGACAGUGUACGAUCGAGUUGGGCUGUAAGAACCAAAGAAAAUUUGAAAUAGAGGUGGAUUGUGAAAGAAGAUUUUGUAGCCUCUAGAUUUUUUUUUUUGACAAUCUACAUCUAUUUCAAAUUAUUUUUGGUAAGAACUAAGUAAUAAAAUGAAAGUACCUACCUAUAACAGGAUGUUUGAUUUUAAAAUUAAAAGAGCCUUGGCGCCCGCCUAGUGGGCGCUCCGCGUACACUAAUGGCUCCUCUACACGAUGGCCCAGCGUAGGCCAGUCCAAGGGACGCAGCUAUGCGGUGAAAUGAGAUAGCAAUAUCACUUGCUCCCUCUAACGCAUAAAUGCGUCUCUAGGACUGGCCUACGCUGGGCCAUCAUGUAGAGGAGCCAUAACAUUUUGUAUGUUCCGCUGCACUUAGGACAUUCGCGUAUACAACUGUAGAUGUAGAACUAACUUUGAGCCAGAAACCGAGUUCUUUAAUGUCUAGAACUGGUAGCUCUUUAAUCAUUAUUAUAUCAAAUUCAAUUUACCCAUUUUUUAACCAAAAAAAAUUAAUUUUGCUAACAAAACAUAAUAUUAAAAAUAUGUUUGCUCUUAUUUCGUUUUCUGAGGCACGCAGUGCCAGAGCCAAGUUCAGUGACUAAGUUUCCUUUAGAACGCUACGGAAAUGAUAAAUUGUUUAUCUGUUACUCGGGUCCAAUGUUUCGGUGAAAACAUUUGACUUUCGAAUAUUUGGUGCAUGCCUUCACAAAGCAGCAUGUAUGGGAAAACGUGGUUCUAUCUCUCCUAUUUAGAUUGAGAUAUUCUUAAUCGUUCGCAGCGAAUUGAGAAGGCAUGCAAAAUGUUCUACUGUAUCCCUAAACGAAAGAUAUAUAUUUUAAGCAAAAAUAAAGUCUUGUUUGUAAAUGAGUAAUACUCAUCGUUAGGUAUUAGAUAACAUAAAUCGCAUUUUAAAAUAUCUCUUUAGUGAAUAUUCAACUCAACAAGGAUGGCCAUGAUUUUAUUAGGGAACGUCAGACACCGAAGUGUGGCUGGAAGAGGCAAAUGAAUGUUUAUUGAAGUAUUCCAUACUCUAUGAUACGUUCGUCGAUGUGUUAGGUUAAGGAUAGUGUUACUUAAUAUAAUAACUACAUUACAUUAGACGGUAAAUUAUUUAUUUCAAGCAUAGCUUCAGCUCAGAAUCUCGUGCUUGGAAAUUGUUGCCAAAGAUAUUUUAUAAAAUUUAAAGCGUCUUUAGGUUUUUAAAUUGCAUAUUAUACUGUGGGUGCUGCAAGAAUUGAAUUGAGAGUGAUGCAGGAAGUUUUUACUGUUAUAUUUUACUAAUAUUUUCUCUAAUUUAUCGUUAGCCGCUUGACGUGGGCAACCGUGCCGUGCCAAAACUGCGACCGCGGGGAAGCCAGGCCACCUCUUACUUAAGCUUCCAUAUUAAAUUGUAAAAAUAUCUUAAACUGUAUUAAAUAAACAUAUCUUCUAAGUUUCUUUGGCUAUUUAGGAAAAUAGCAAAACAGUUGAUGAAAAUGAAUCAUAAAUAUUCGCUAAUAGCGUCGCGUAUAAUCAUAAAUUUUCGGUAAAAGUUAAAACAUUCCGCAGUGGCUUCGUAUUGUAUGAUUAUACCGUCAAUGGAAUAAAUUAUAUGUGAAACGCAUAAAUUAAUGUUUAGUAUUAUAAACAAUGUAUCAUUGUGUACAAUAAAUGUUGUGUUAACCAUUGAAAAAAUAUCUGUUCAUACAUAUAUAUGUAUUUAUAUAUCCUAAAACUAACAUUCGGACUCCUUUAACUACAUGCCCUACCAACGCCCCCUCUAUUCACUGUGAUAAAAUAAUUAACAUAACAUAUAUUAUAAAAUUUAUAACAUUACCGUUUAUCAAAAAUAUUUAAGUUUCUACAAUUCUAAAAAAGUUAUUAUUUUGUACAUGUGUAUCACAGUGAAUAAUUUUCAUAUUCAAACUUGGAAUAUAAUUAUUGAUUAAUCGCUAAUAACACUCCAUCAAAACCAUUGUAAAUAUCAUUUAUGGCCUGAUUUCUUUUUUUAAAUAUGUUUAAACCAUUUUCUCACGCGACAAAGGCCCUAGAUCUAAAUUUUAAAUAUUACUGUUCAAAUUAUUGUUUUUAAUAUUUAUCAUUAUAUUGACAUGUUUUAUAUUGAUAUAUUUUAAUUUAAUUACGACUGUGCUGUUUUAUAUCUCAUAUAUUUUAUACCAAUGUCUCUAAAUAAAAUGUGGACGGAAA
RNA transcript from Cydia pomonella (codling moth), 5272 nucleotides. It is a transcript of the gene named cilia- and flagella-associated protein 52, with no coding region annotated. The record is from RefSeq and is a predicted model, not a curated record. The transcript has 18 exons. Lineage: Eukaryota; Metazoa; Arthropoda; Insecta; Lepidoptera; Tortricidae.